This 30-nucleotide non-coding RNA is filed under the name Mus musculus (house mouse). The record is from RNAcentral. Lineage: Eukaryota; Metazoa; Chordata; Mammalia; Rodentia; Muridae.
UGCUCAUCUGAUUACCGAAAUCCUGGUUCC